This 253-nucleotide ribosomal RNA is filed under the name uncultured Caryophanales bacterium. RNAcentral's name for it is "uncultured Bacillales bacterium partial 16S ribosomal RNA". It matches the Rfam family "Bacterial small subunit ribosomal RNA", at positions 524 to 776 of the family's 1533-position model. Lineage: Bacteria; Bacillati; Bacillota; Bacilli; Caryophanales. The record is from RNAcentral.
UACGUAGGGGGCAAGCGUUGUCCGGAAUUAUUGGGCGUAAAGCGCGCGCAGGCGGCUUCUUAAGUCUGAUGUGAAAGCCCGUGGCUCAACCACGGAGGGUCAUUGGAAACUGGGGAGCUUGAGUGCAGAAGAGGAGAGUGGAAUUCCACGUGUAGCGGUGAAAUGCGUAGAUAUGUGGAGGAACACCAGUGGCGAAAGCGGCUCUCUGGUCUGUAACUGACGCUGAGGCGCGAAAGCGUGGGGAGCAAACAGG